Molecule: long non-coding RNA, 1104 nt
Filed under: Oryctolagus cuniculus (rabbit)
Lineage: Eukaryota; Metazoa; Chordata; Mammalia; Lagomorpha; Leporidae
Description: lncRNA (ENSOCUG00000032113.1)
Source: RNAcentral
AUGGGUAUAAAAAGCAUGUAUGGGCCGGCGCCACGGCUCACUAGGCUAAUCCUCCGCCUAGCGGCGCCGGCACACCGGGUUCUAGUCCCGGUCGGGGCGCCGGAUUCUGUCCCGGUUGCCCCUCUUCCAGGCCAGCUCUUUGCUGUGGCCCGGGAGUGCAGUGGAGGAUGGCCCAAGUGCUUGGGCCCUGCACCCCAUGGGAGACCAGGAAAAGCACCUGGCUCCUGGCUCCUGCCAUCGGAUCAGCGCGGUGUCCCGGCCACAGUGCGCCGGCCGCGGCGGCCAUUGGAGGGUGAACCAACGGCAAAGGAAGACCUUUCUCUCUGUCUCUCUCUCUCUCACUGUCCACUCUGCCUGUCAAAAAAAAAAAAAAAAAAGGCACAGUGUGGUGCCCAGGUGGCCUCACAGGAGUUGGGGUGUAGGCUCACACACAGGGAGGAGCAGCAGCAGACUCAGGAAGACACGGGGUCUCAAGCCAACAAGAGGACAUCAGACAGAAUGAAUGUGAGCGUGGACUUCAGUCCCCAGAACUUUUCUGAACAUGUCACGUCGAUGGAACGAUAUAAUCAGAGUUCUGUUGUGUCUGGCUUCUCGCUCUGGGGAUUUUCCAAGGUUCGUCCAUGUGGGAGCGUGAAACAGGACUUUGCUCCCCCUUUUCGUGGCAGGGUAAUAUUCCAUUGUGUGGAUCGACCUAUUCUGGACAUUUUGUGUGAAGAUAGUCAUAAGCUAUGUGGCUUUGCAAGGUGGAUUCUAGUUUUUAUUUAUUUAUUUAUUUUUAUUUUAUUUUAUUUUUUGACAGGCAGAGUGGACAGUGAGAGAGAGAGACAGAGAGAAAGGUCUUCCUUUGCCGUUGGUUCACCCUGCAAUGGCCGCCACGGCCAGCGCGCUGUGGCCGGCGCACUGCGCCUAUCCGAAGGCAGGAGCCAGGUGCUUCUCCUGGUCUCCCAUGGGGUGCAGGGCCCAAGCACCUGGGCCAUCCUCCACUGCACUCCCUGGCCACAGCAGAGAGCUGGCCUGGAAGAGGGGCAACCGGGACAGAAUCCGGCGCCCCGACCGGGACUAGAACCCGGUGUGCCGGCGCCGCAAGGCAGAGGAUUAGCCUAA